UGGCGCUCUUCCUGCUGCUUCUUCACCCAUUUUUCCCGUGCCCGCAAAAAUUGCUACCUGACAGCGCAGGCGCCAAAGGACGGUCGACCGUUAACAAGGACAAAAGAAAUUAAACUUUUUCGAUCACCGCGGGAACCUGCCGCGUCAGAAUCGAAGGUAAGUGGCGCGUCCGAAAUGGGACAAGAAUUAAGUCAGCAUCAAAUCUAUGUAGGACAAUUAAAAGAGGCUUUAAAGAUACGAGGAGUAAAGGUUAAAGGUAAUGAUUUGUUUAAAUUUUUUGAUUUUGUAAAAGAUACUUGCCCUU
This is a non-coding RNA of Papio anubis (olive baboon), 304 nucleotides long. NCBI's taxonomy places the organism in Eukaryota, Metazoa, Chordata, Mammalia, Primates, Cercopithecidae. The record is from Rfam.